UACGAAGGGUGCAAGCGUUAAUCGGAAUUACUGGGCGUAAAGCGCACGUAGGCGGUUUUUUAAGUCAGAUGUGAAAGCCCCGGGCUCAACCUGGGAAUUGCAUUUGAAACUGGAAAACUAGAGUGUGUGAGAGGGGGGUAGAAUUCCAAGUGUAGCGGUGAAAUGCGUAGAGAUUUGGAGGAAUACCAGUGGCGAAGGCGGCCCCCUGGCACAACACUGACGCUCAGGUGCGAAAGCGUGGGGAGCAAACAGG
RNAcentral lists this ribosomal RNA (253 nucleotides) under uncultured bacterium. RNAcentral's name for it is "partial 16S ribosomal RNA". It matches the Rfam family "Bacterial small subunit ribosomal RNA", at positions 524 to 776 of the family's 1533-position model. The record is from RNAcentral.